This 465-nucleotide ribosomal RNA is filed under the name uncultured Klebsiella sp. RNAcentral's name for it is "bacterial SSU rRNA". It matches the Rfam family "Bacterial small subunit ribosomal RNA", at positions 338 to 795 of the family's 1533-position model. The record is from RNAcentral. Lineage: Bacteria; Pseudomonadati; Pseudomonadota; Gammaproteobacteria; Enterobacterales; Enterobacteriaceae.
CCUACGGGCGGCUGCAGUGGGGAAUAUUGCACAAUGGGCGCAAGCCUGAUGCAGCCAUGCCGCGUGUGUGAAGAAGGCCUUCGGGUUGUAAAGCACUUUCAGCGGGGAGGAAGGCGGUGAGGUUAAUAACCUCAUCGAUUGACGUUACCCGCAGAAGAAGCACCGGCUAACUCCGUGCCAGCAGCCGCGGUAAUACGGAGGGUGCAAGCGUUAAUCGGAAUUACUGGGCGUAAAGCGCACGCAGGCGGUCUGUCAAGUCGGAUGUGAAAUCCCCGGGCUCAACCUGGGAACUGCAUUCGAAACUGGCAGGCUAGAGUCUUGUAGAGGGGGGUAGAAUUCCAGGUGUAGCGGUGAAAUGCGUAGAGAUCUGGAGGAAUACCGGUGGCGAAGGCGGCCCCCUGGACAAAGACUGACGCUCAGGUGCGAAAGCGUGAGGAGCAAACAGGAUUAGAUACCCUGGUAGUC